This 355-nucleotide ribosomal RNA is filed under the name uncultured bacterium. Its description in RNAcentral is "partial 16S ribosomal RNA". It matches the Rfam family "Bacterial small subunit ribosomal RNA", at positions 338 to 690 of the family's 1533-position model. The record is from RNAcentral.
CCUACGGGAGGCAGCAGUGAGGAAUAUUGGUCAAUGGACGAGAGUCUGAACCAGCCAAGUAGCGUGAAGGAUGACUGCCCUAUGGGUUGUAAACUUCUUUUAUAUGGGAAUAAAAUGUUCCACGUGUGGGAUUUUGUAUGUACCAUAUGAAUAAGGAUCGGCUAACUCCGUGCCAGCAGCCGCGGUAAUACGGAGGAUCCGAGCGUUAUCCGGAUUUAUUGGGUUUAAAGGGAGCGUAGGUGGAUUGUUAAGUCAGUUGUGAAAGUUUGCGGCUCAACCGUAAAAUUGCAGUUGAAACUGGCAGGCUUGAGUACAGUAGAGGUGGGAGGAAUUGGUGGGGGUGCGGUGAAAUGUU